GGUAUGCCGUUGAUUUAUAAAUUGAAAGGCUGCGGUAUUUUAACUGUACGAAGGUAGCAUAAUCACUUGUCUUUUAAUUGAAGGCUAGUAUGAAUGGUUUGAUGAAAAACUUUCUUUCUUUGUUUAAUUUUUUUGAAUUUAAUUUUUAAAUUAAAAAGUUUAAAUUUUUUUAUAGGACGAGAAGACCCUAUAGAAAUUUAUUUUUUAUAUAAAUUUUUCUUUUUGGCUUUUAAAAGUUUAAUUUAGAAGAAAAAAUUUUGUUGGGGUGACAAUAAAAUUUUUAUAACUUUUAUUAUUUUUUUUCCAUUAAUUUAUGUAAUGAUCCAGUUUUAUUGAUUAAAAGAUUAAUUUACUUUAGGGAUAACAGCGAAAUUUUUUUAGAA
RNAcentral lists this ribosomal RNA (383 nucleotides) under Rhagovelia zela. RNAcentral's name for it is "partial 16S ribosomal RNA". The record is from RNAcentral. Lineage: Eukaryota; Metazoa; Arthropoda; Insecta; Hemiptera; Veliidae.